UGUCAUCUUCGAGAAACAGUUUUUCCCCUCCAUAGUUAGGAAAAAUUCGUCAAAAAUUCCGCUUUUUACAGAAUCGAACAAAUAUGGUGACCCACCUCUAUUGUUUCUCGUAAUUAUAGCAGCAAACAUGACACCCAUUUCUCACAUCUUCAUCGGCUCAGGGCUGCUCACUAUUGUGCAAUGGCCUGAAUCCAAUGUUCAUUUUCUUUCAUGGCCGCCCAGUUGAGCAGACUGAAAAGAUUCAAGAUCAGCUGGCUGAUUUUCGCACUAUGCUCUCUUUGUUCAUGUCUAGACGUCUUGCCCCUGCCAAAUCUCAUGCUAUGGAAACCCGAUCCAAUAACUGUAUCUAGAGUAUUUUGUUGUUGGUACCUGAUAUUCCAUCUGAGACAAAGUGUAGAGCUGUGGCUUAAACAUCCUGGCUGGUUUUACGCGAUCGCCGGUCUUCUCCAGGAAAUGGUGUGCUCAGUAAGGCAGCGUCCUUAAUGCAUCUCUGUAAUUACUCUGCAAAAUCUGUGAGCUGCAGAGGUGAUCUGUCACACUCGAUCUUCUCAAUCAUCAGAUAAAAGGUCCUUCACAAGUGACGCGAACUCCACAGUUAGGUUCAAGAUCAAUUUCAUUCCGCAAUGCAUCAAAGUUAUGGCCAGAGUCUUCUGCAGGGCUACUGAGAGAAGAAGGUUGGCUGAUGAGGCACGUCGCACUAUAUGCAGCUGAAUCGAAAUGACAAACCCGCAAGAGUAACCUGGUGUGUAUAAUAGAACAUGCCAAAUUUUACAAAUUCAUCUUCACCUGACUGUUGUCGGCCGCCAACGGAUUUAUAGUUUCGAGUUCAUUGGUACGUU
Long non-coding RNA from Nymphaea colorata (pocket water lily), 839 nucleotides. RefSeq lists it as uncharacterized. The record is from RefSeq and is a predicted model, not a curated record. NCBI's taxonomy places the organism in Eukaryota, Viridiplantae, Streptophyta, Magnoliopsida, Nymphaeales, Nymphaeaceae. The transcript is spliced from 3 exons.